GGUGAAAAGCACCCCGGAAGGGGAGUGAAAUAGAACCUGAAACCGUGUGCUUACAAGUAGUCAGAGCCCGUUAAUGGGUGAUGGCGUGCCUUUUGUAGAAUGAACCGGCGAGUUACGAUUUGAUGCAAGGUUAAGCAGUAAAUGUGGAGCCGUAGCGAAAGCGAGUCUGAAUAGGGCGUUUAGUAUUUGGUCGUAGACCCGAAACCAGGUGAUCUACCCUUGGUCAGGUUGAAGUUCAGGUAACACUGAAUGGAGGACCGAACCGACUUACGUUGAAAAGUGAGCGGAUGAACUGAGGGUAGCGGAGAAAUUCCAAUCGAACCUGGAGAUAGCUGGUUCUCUCCGAAAUAGCUUUAGGGCUAGCCUCAAGUGAUGAUUAUUGGAGGUAGAGCACUGUUUGGACGAGGGGCCCCUCUCGGGUUACCGAAUUCAGACAAACUCCGAAUGCCAAUUAAUUUAACUUGGGAGUCAGAACAUGGGUGAUAAGGUCCGUGUUCGAAAGGGAAACAGCCCAGACCACCAGCUAAGGUCCCAAAAUAUAUGUUAAGUGGAAAAGGAUGUGGCGUUGCCCAGACAACUAGGAUGUUGGCUUAGAAGCAGCCAUCAUUUAAAGAGUGCGUAAUAGCUCACUAGUCGAGUGACACUGCGCCGAAAAUGUACCGGGGCUAAACAUAUUACCGAAGCUGUGGAUUGUCCUUUGGACAAUGGUAGGAGAGCGUUCUAAGGGCGUUGAAGCAUGAUCGUAAGGACAUGUGGAGCGCUUAGAAGUGAGAAUGCCGGUGUGAGUAGCGAAAGACGGGUGAGAAUCCCGUCCACCGAUUGACUAAGGUUUCCAGAGGAAGGCUCGUCCGCUCUGGGUUAGUCGGGUCCUAAGCUGAGGCCGACAGGCGUAGGCGAUGGAUAACAGGUUGAUAUUCCUGUACCACCUAUAAUCGUUUUAAUCGAUGGGGGGACGCAGUAGGAUAGGCGAAGCGUGCGAUUGGAUUGCACGUCUAAGCAGUAAGGCUGAGUAUUAGGCAAAUCCGGUACUCAUUAAGGCUGAGCUGUGAUGGGGAGAAGACAUUGUGUCUUCGAGUCGUUGAUUUCACACUGCCGAGAAAAGCCUCUAGAUAGAAAAUAGGUGCCCGUACCGCAAACCGACACAGGUAGUCAAGAUGAGAAUUCUAAGGUGAGCGAGCGAACUCUCGUUAAGGAACUCGGCAAAAUGACCCCGUAACUUCGGGAGAAGGGGUGCUCUUUAGGGUUAACGCCCAGAAGAGCCGCAGUGAAUAGGCCCAAGCGACUGUUUAUCAAAAACACAGGUCUCUGCUAAACCGUAAGGUGAUGUAUAGGGGCUGACGCCUGCCCGGUGCUGGAAGGUUAAGAGGAGUGGUUAGCUUCUGCGAAGCUACGAAUCGAAGCCCCAGUAAACGGCGGCCGUAACUAUAACGGUCCUAAGGUAGCGAAAUUCCUUGUCGGGUAAGUUCCGACCCGCACGAAAGGCGUAACGAUUUGGGCACUGUCUCAACGAGAGACUCGGUGAAAUCAUAGUACCUGUGAAGAUGCAGGUUACCCGCGACAGGACGGAAAGACCCCGUGGAGCUUUACUGUAGCCUGAUAUUGAAAUUCGGCACAGCUUGUACAGGAUAGGUAGGAGCCUUUGAAACGUGAGCGCUAGCUUACGUGGAGGCGCUGGUGGGAUACUACCCUAGCUGUGUUGGCUUUCUAACCCGCACCACUUAUCGUGGUGGGAGACAGUGUCAGGCGGGCAGUUUGACUGGGGCGGUCGCCUCCUAAAAGGUAACGGAGGCGCUCAAAGGUUCCCUCAGAAUGGUUGGAAAUCAUUCAUAGAGUGUAAAGGCAUAAGGGAGCUUGACUGCGAGACCUACAAGUCGAGCAGGGUCGAAAGACGGACUUAGUGAUCCGGUGGUUCCGCAUGGAAGGGCCAUCGCUCAACGGAUAAAAGCUACCCCGGGGAUAACAGGCUUAUCUCCCCCAAGAGUUCACAUCGACGGGGAGGUUUGGCACCUCGAUGUCGGCUCAUCGCAUCCUGGGGCUGUAGUCGGUCCCAAGGGUUGGGCUGUUCGCCCAUUAAAGCGGUACGCGAGCUGGGUUCAGAACGUCGUGAGACAGUUCGGUCCCUAUCCGUCGUGGGCGUAGGAAAUUUGAGAGGAGCUGUCCUUAGUACGAGAGGACCGGGAUGGACAUACCUCUGGUGUACCAGUUGUCGUGCCAACGGCAUAGCUGGGUAGCUAUGUGUGGACGGGAUAAGUGCUGAAAGCAUCUAAGCAUGAAGCCCCCCUCAAGAU
This 2288-nucleotide ribosomal RNA is filed under the name Staphylococcus aureus. RNAcentral describes it as "partial 23S ribosomal RNA". It matches the Rfam family "Bacterial large subunit ribosomal RNA", at positions 513 to 2805 of the family's 2925-position model. Lineage: Bacteria; Bacillati; Bacillota; Bacilli; Caryophanales; Staphylococcaceae. The record is from RNAcentral.